RNAcentral lists this ribosomal RNA (253 nucleotides) under uncultured bacterium. Its description in RNAcentral is "partial 16S ribosomal RNA". It matches the Rfam family "Bacterial small subunit ribosomal RNA", at positions 524 to 776 of the family's 1533-position model. The record is from RNAcentral.
UACGGAGGGUGCGAGCGUUGUCCGGAAUCACUGGGCGUAAAGGGCGCGUAGGCGGCUUGACAAGCGUGUGGUGAAAGCCCGGGGCUCAACCCCGGGUCGGCCGUGCGGACUGUCGAGCUGGAGCACUGUAGAGGCGGGUGGAAUUCCGGGUGUAGCGGUGGAAUGCGUAGAGAUCCGGAAGAACACCGGUGGCGAAGGCGGCCCGCUGGGCAGUAGCUGACGCUGAGGCGCGACAGCGUGGGGAGCAAACAGG